CCUACGGGCGGCUGCAGUGGGGAAUAUUGGACAAUGGGCGAAAGCCUGAUCCAGCCAUGCCGCGUGUGUGAAGAAGGCCUUCGGGUUGUAAAGCACUUUCAGUGGGGAAGAAAGCCUUGGGGCUAAUACCCUCGAGGAAGGACAUCACCCACAGAAGAAGCACCGGCUAACUCCGUGCCAGCAGCCGCGGUGAAUACGGAGGGUGCGAGCGUUAAUCGGAAUUACUGGGCGUAAAGCGCGCGUAGGCGGUCUGAUAAGCCGGUUGUGAAAGCCCCGGGCUCAACCUGGGAACGGCAUCCGGAACUGUCAGGCUAGAGUGCAGGAGAGGAAGGUAGAAUUCCCGGUGUAGCGGUGAAAUGCGUAGAGAUCGGGAGGAAUACCAGUGGCGAAGGCGGCCUUCUGGACUGACACUGACGCUGAGGUGCGAAAGCGUGGGUAGCAAACAGGAUUAGAUACCCGGGUAGUC
RNAcentral lists this ribosomal RNA (466 nucleotides) under Vreelandella stevensii. RNAcentral describes it as "partial 16S ribosomal RNA". It matches the Rfam family "Bacterial small subunit ribosomal RNA", at positions 338 to 795 of the family's 1533-position model. Lineage: Bacteria; Pseudomonadati; Pseudomonadota; Gammaproteobacteria; Oceanospirillales; Halomonadaceae. The record is from RNAcentral.